GACGCCGCAGCCACUCAAAUCAUAUCACGAAAUCCCAGGCAACUGUUGCUCUCUGGACGGCGCCGCCGGCAACCUGGGUGCCGCCAGGAUUCUCUGGACGGCACCUAAAACUCCAAGGCAGGCGCAUGAGCAACUCAUCCAAAAACCAAUCAGGUGACAGAGUAGCAAGAAGCAUUAUGGACUUGAAUGUACCUCCACCAGAAUUUAACUAUGAUUUCCUAGAUGCAAUGUUUCAAGGUCCAAAAGAUGCAUGCGAACCAAUAUUUUGCACUCAGCAGCUGCCAAACAAACAGGAUGUGCCUACUGUGUCUGAGAUCAGGCUAUGACUUGAAGAAGCAAGAAUAGAUGAUGUUCUUGGAGCUUCUAAUGGUGAUGAGCAGGAUGCUGCUGGUAACGAUAUAGUGCAAAUUAUACCUGAUGAAAUUGGUGAAGAGGUCGUGUCCACACCUCAAAUGCCAUUCAAUGGACAGACAUUUGAUACUAAAGUCGAAGCGAGGGAGUAUUACAACGCAUAUGCUAAAAGAAAUGGUUUCUCCAUCCGUACAGGCACGUCGCGUAGAGCUACUGUGACGAGGGAAAUGUCUAAAGUAUCAUUCGUUUGUAACAGGGAAGGUAAUGGAAGGAAAAGGAAAGAUGAGCAGACAAUCGAGGGUGUUGCUGAUGGUACUGACAACGGUGAUUCCACUGUUGAAGAAUAAGAAGAUGCUGAAGAAGAAAUAGACAAUGAUGAGGAAGAUGCUGAGAAGAAGAAGAAACUUGAUGGAGGCAAAAAAAAGGAAAAGAGAGAAGAUGCAAUACACAAAUUGCAAAGCAAGAAUGGUUGUGAAGUUUAUAGGUGCAAGGUGGAGAGUGAUUGACUUCAUUGCAGAACACAACCAUGAUCUUGUUGUGAAACCUUCACUGAAAAAGUUUAUGAGGUCUCACAAAGGUAUCCCUAGGGAGGAAAAAGACUUUAUUAGGUUGCUUCAUGGGUGCAACUUAACCACAGGGUGCAUAAUGCAGCUUAUGUCAGAGUUCUAUGGAUCUGCACAGGUUACUCCAUAUGAAAGUAAAGAUGUGAGCAACUUCCACUCCACUAUCAUAAUGCAUCAAGCGUUAGACCACUUUAGGGGGAUGAAAGAAGAAGAUCCUGGUUUUUUCUACAAAUUCAAGUUGGAUGAUGAAAAUAGAAUUCAAAACUUAUUCUGGCUUGAUAGUGCAUCAAGGCAUGCAUAUGUCGAGGCCUACAAUGAUUGUGUCUCAUUUGAUGCAACCUACAUGACGAAUAUGUAUGACAUGCCAUUUGCACCCUUUAUUGGGAUCAAUAGACAUGGGCAGACAUUCCAGUUGGGGUGUGCCUUCAUAAGGGAUGAAAAGAUACCUAGCUACAAAUGGUUGUUUGAGACAUUUCUUAGAAGCCAUGGAAGGCAAGGCACCUCUGAACAUCAUAACAGAUCAGGAUGUUGCUAUGAGAAGUGCUAUCGCACUUGUAUUCCCAAAUGCAACACAUCGAAAUUGUCGCUGGCACAUUAUGGACAAAUUUUCUAGCACAAUAGGGCCAUGUCUUGCUGGAAUCAAGAGCUAGAAGAAGAAUUCAAAGAUUGUAUUAACUACACAGUGACUCCGGAGGAGUUUGAGACAAAAUGGUCUUAUAUGACAGAUAAGUAUGGCCUGUUACUCUUCUAGGAUUACAUAGUGCACGGAUCGAGUAGGAUUUCUUUCUCUUUUCUUGAUCUGAGUACAAAAGGGGUCCUAGAUCAAGAACAUAGAGUACACAGGAAGGGAGAAGUAGAGACCAUCACCACCGGCGGAGCUUGAAGCGGCCAUCUCUGGUUCGUUGAUGGAGAUCUGCUCAAGGGCGGCGACGAGCGGUGCAGAGGCGUCAUGGGCGUAGCGCCGGAGUCGAGGACGGUGGCAGUGACGUCGAUGGAUCAGCGUCGACGGCGGCAGCGGUGAGUCUUCCCGCUGCUCCAGCGCCCCCUCCAGAUCGGCUAGGGUUUAGAGAAUGUGGGUGAGGGUGCUGGCGGCGCGGUGAACCUCAUACCGAGUGCCUGGCCCCUCACCCCCUUUUAUAUGGCGCUGUACAGUGGGGGCCCACCAACCAUUAAGGGUUGGACUCCCCCGAUCAGGGCGCGGAUUAAGGGCAUAAUAGGCCGUUGGGCCUAUUAGGAAGGAGAUCAAUCCAACAUUCUCUCCCUUGAUCUCACUUUGUACUUUAACUUUAAACCUUUUUUCUGUAAUUGUUCCAUCACAGAUUAAUGAAUAGAGCAUGUUUUAUCGUCA
Panicum virgatum (switchgrass) is the source of this 2262-nucleotide long non-coding RNA. RefSeq lists it as uncharacterized. The record is from RefSeq and is a predicted model, not a curated record. Lineage: Eukaryota; Viridiplantae; Streptophyta; Magnoliopsida; Poales; Poaceae. The transcript is spliced from 2 exons.